This 253-nucleotide ribosomal RNA is filed under the name uncultured bacterium. RNAcentral's name for it is "partial 16S ribosomal RNA". It matches the Rfam family "Bacterial small subunit ribosomal RNA", at positions 524 to 776 of the family's 1533-position model. The record is from RNAcentral.
UACGAAGGGGGCUAGCGUUGCUCGGAAUCACUGGGCGUAAAGCGCACGUAGGCGGCUUUUUAAGUCAGAGGUGAAAUCCUGGAGCUCAACUCCAGAACUGCCUUUGAUACUGGAGAGCUUGAGUCCGGGAGAGGUGAGUGGAACUGCGAGUGUAGAGGUGAAAUUCGUAGAUAUUCGCAAGAACACCAGUGGCGAAGGCGGCUCACUGGCCCGGUACUGACGCUGAGGUGCGAAAGCGUGGGGAGCGAUCCGG